UGGCAUAAUCAUUUCAUAAGAUUAUAAUUUUCAUUGUAUACACAUCGUUUGUUCACUUGUAGAUCAUGUAUGUGAGUGAUAAGCAUGUCCAUGUAAGCAACUAUUUAUAGUAGCAUGCAAUGUAUUAAUAGCGUUCAAUUGUAAGCAUGCAUGUAAUUUAUAGUAACAUGGUAUAUACGAUAGUCAUGCAUUCAAGUUAAGCUCUUCAUGCAUGCAUAUGAUGAAUUAUAUGUAUAUACUUAGUCAUGUAAAUCUUAGAUUUGUAAAUUCAUGCAUACGUAUAUUCAUUUUAAUGUGAUCAUGAUCAAGGUUAUAAGUAUAAAGAUAUUCAAGUGAAGAAUAUUAAGACUAAAGCUUGAGAUGCAUUAACUCAUAACUAAUCAAAUUUCACUAAGCUCACAUAUACCCAUAGAUCUUCUGAUUUUUGAAUGAACUUCUUGAUCUAAGGGUUUAGUGAAGAUGUCAG
This 466-nucleotide long non-coding RNA is filed under the name Zostera marina. RNAcentral describes it as "long non-coding RNA (ZMAR_LNC006033)". Lineage: Eukaryota; Viridiplantae; Streptophyta; Magnoliopsida; Alismatales; Zosteraceae. The record is from RNAcentral.